GUUUCACUGGCGUUGUGGCUUAUAAAUCGGGGCCGAUGUCAUCUGAACGGGAGUUUCUCUAUCCAGGCUGUGUGAGUCCCUCUGUGGGAAACCUGAUGUCUGGAUGCAACGCCCACCUUGUCAUAAAGGGUUCAGUAUUUAUAGGCCACAACGCCAGUGAAAUU
Mariprofundus ferrooxydans PV-1 is the source of this 164-nucleotide non-coding RNA. It matches the Rfam family "6S / SsrS RNA". From Rfam's summary of the family: E. coli 6S RNA was the first non coding RNA to be sequenced, but its function was unknown until recently. It consists of 184 nucleotides that fold into an extended hairpin structure with a large single-stranded internal bulge. The 6S RNA specifically associates with RNA polymerase holoenzyme containing the sigma70 specificity factor. The record is from Rfam. Lineage: Bacteria; Pseudomonadati; Pseudomonadota; Candidatius Mariprofundia; Mariprofundales; Mariprofundaceae.